RNAcentral lists this long non-coding RNA (239 nucleotides) under Rosa chinensis. RNAcentral describes it as "sRNA RchiOBHm_Chr1g0328191". Lineage: Eukaryota; Viridiplantae; Streptophyta; Magnoliopsida; Rosales; Rosaceae. The record is from RNAcentral.
GAUUCCGGCAAUUUUCAGCAGCAAAAAUGGCCAACAUACCGAACUCUUGCUCGAUGAAGAAACUCGUAUGCGUGAUCACCUGAAUAGUACUUUUGCAGGCGUAGUUGAGGUUGGGCGUACAUUGGAGUUGAGGCAUAGUCAACAACAUGGCUUCUGCAAUUUUAUUUGAUUUAGGUUUUCCUUAAUUACCCUUGGUGUUAGAAUUGCUAUGAUUACCUGAGGAAAUUAAUGUUAUUUAA